UCCACUAUAAGACCUAGAACCUUGUACAGAAGAGACGGUACUUUCAUCAGUGGCAUAUCCUUUCUCUUUUUCAGGCCCUCUGGUGGAAGAAGGUCUGAAACCCAUACCAAUCUGCCGAAGUUGUUCAUCAAUCUGUAAGCGUUCCAUUCUUAGUUGUUCUACUUCCUACAAUCAAAACAGAAAUGCUCCAGCAGCAUUGUGCCAUGUGUCCCCCAAAGAAUGACAGGAUGGAAAAAUGGAAGAAAAAGGACUGGAGCAUGACCACACCCUAUUGGGAAGUAUGCUUACACUCAAAUGCUCUCUCUCUUGCCAAAGUACAUAUCCUAUGGCUAAAAAGAAAGAAGUCUAGAGCUAGUGCUAGAGCUGUACUCUCUUUUAAAUGAAGAAGCUGUGACAUUAGUUGGUGAACUAGCACUGUGUUGUAGUAAACACAAUUCAAGGUCAUUUGCUGAUUCAAUUUAAAUGCUUAUGAAUACUUUAGAAUGUGCUACCAACAUAUAAUAUCAAAGAUAAUAAGGACUCUCCAACUUCAAGAUUUUUAAAAAACAGUUAUAUAAAACUGUUAUCUAGAGAAAACUGUUGGCUAAAAGAGAUAAAAAGAGUACCAGAAAAUAAAGUGUUAGCUUACAGUAUCAUUGUGAAUCGAAACUUAUAAAGAUGACUUUCAAAUAAAAGGAAUUAUUGGAGUGCUUUCAACAUACUAACAGUGGGGCCAAGUGAUAGUGCAGUGGUAAUGCAACUGGACCCAUGUAAGAAGGGGACUUUCUUGUGCAUACUGGGCACACAGGGCAUGCUCAUCAUCCAGGCUGGGC
Long non-coding RNA from Tupaia belangeri chinensis (Chinese tree shrew), 812 nucleotides. RefSeq lists it as uncharacterized. Lineage: Eukaryota; Metazoa; Chordata; Mammalia; Scandentia; Tupaiidae. The record is from RefSeq and is a predicted model, not a curated record. The transcript has 2 exons.